GGAAAGCUCCGGCCUGUGGAGACCAGCCGGUAUUGAAAACCGGAGGCGGGCAUCGCGUCCCGGGGGUUCGAGUCCUCUGCCUUCCGC
RNAcentral lists this transfer RNA (87 nucleotides) under Nocardia otitidiscaviarum. RNAcentral's name for it is "tRNA-Ser(tga)". The record is from RNAcentral. Lineage: Bacteria; Bacillati; Actinomycetota; Actinomycetes; Mycobacteriales; Nocardiaceae.